UGGUGUAUCAAGGAAAUCUAGGGUUUCGUCCUGCUCCUCUGUCUAUCGUAGAAUACGCCUGUGAAAUUUAGUAAAAUUUUCUUCAAUUCGAUUGCUGAAUAGAUAUUAUCUUCAGGAAAUUUCAGUGUUUGGUUUUGAUUCGGGUUCAUGGUUCUCUGUAUAGCUCGAACUCGACCCUUUGGACGUCUUAAGGGAAUCGUUUGAUUUUUCUGGGUUUUAAUGGUGAUCUCACUGAUUGUUUGCUAUAUUUUCUCUGGUGCAUAUUUGUUCUGGGAUGCUCAAAUUGCUGUUCCUCUAUGCUGAUUUUAUGGAUCUGUCGUUGAAUCCAAGAACUAUAGUGAUCUUACAGUUUAUGAAUCUGUACACAGGCUUGCUGGGCUUGCUUUCAUGUUUUCAUCGAGUAUCCUCUUACAGAUCCUGGUACGUUUGAAAUCUCAGUCUAGUCAUCAAGCUGUGAUGAAACUAUCAUGUUGCUCCAACGUGCUUGGUCGAACAAAGUACAAACGUCUAUAACUCUGCUUUCUUCUUCCAUCGAAAAGAAUAAUAUUAUACACUAACCAUCUAUAAAAUUGGUUUAUCUUUGUGAUUUCUUGUUGUACCUUCAACCUCCUUUUUCUUCCCGGCUGCUGGUAACAAGGAAGAUCUGUGAUGAUCUUAGUCCUUUCUACGAGUGGUGGAGACUCUUUCUGCAGGAAAUUAUGGAAAAACUGAACCUUUCGUGUGUUUUAUAGUUUUAGCUUCUCUUUCCCGUGUGUAGCCAUACGAUUGGUUCUUGUUCGGUCUUUUUUGGUUCAAGUUAACUACAAGAAGCAAGGAUCUGAUGUGCUUUUCUGACAAGUUUAGGAAAUCAGGCUUGUGCAAUAUACGGUAAUUGGUGGUCGAUGCCCAUGCCUUGUUUGUUCUUUGGAGGAGGUUCCACCCAAUUCCUGAUUAGCCGAGAUGGUGGAGGGCUAUCUCCUCUCCUCGCAUAUCUCUCUGCCGCAGAACGCUUCUGGUUCUUCGACCAAAGAAAAAACCUCUCCUUUAUCCCUUUCAUCAUCUCCUCAUCCAUAAGGCGUUUUGUUGGGGAUCUUCCGUUUUCUGUCGACCAGAUCCGGAUAACCUAGCCACGAGUUAGCAGAUCUGCACGACAUGUCUGUAAGCUCUGCUGGGGAUCUUUUGUUUUAGGGGUUUCUGUCGAUCAGAUCCGGAUAACCUGGCCAUCGGUAUCUGUCUGUAAGCCCGGGUCCUUGUACGUGAAGCUGUCAAGUCCAUACGAGGAUACCGUUUCAGUUUUUUUUAAUCGUUCCUUGUGUCUAUCUUUUCUAAGAGUCGGGUUCUCAGAGUGGGCUCAUCGUCACUAGACAGUAGCCACACCUUGAUAAAAAAAAGUAGGUGCAGAAACCUACACUCCAGCAAUCUGACAUAAUGACAAUGAUCCCAAUAGAAGCGAAGAAAUAACACAAGAAACCUUGCAAAUGGGAAGACGUCUUUGGAUUUCUUAGCGAGGACUUUCAAGUAUAUCAAUCUCCCGUUUGUGUUGUUAAAUUAUUGUCUCAGCCUUACAAUGUGUUGUUCAUCCUGCCUCCGUUGUGAUGUUAUUGGUAUUUGCUUGGGGUACCACCAAUUCUAUAUAAGAAAAACUAAAAAAUAUUUUCUCUAUUGCCCUCAUCUUUUGAAAAUGGAUUUACUUCUGCUCAAGUGUAUUGGAUCCCAUCUUGUUACAGAUUGAGAAUGCCCUAGGAAUUAUUUAAGUGGUUACUAUUAACGACAAGGGUGAACUCCUUGUGGGAACUCCAACCAAGCGGUUUGUAGACGCUCAAACACAAAGGAGAUGGAAAUGGCACCGUGCAAGAUUGUUAAAGCUCAAAAUGGUGAUGUCUGGGUCGAAGUAAAAGUACUCUCCUUGCCAGAUUGGAGCUUUUUUGCUCGCGCAAAUGGAUAAAUACCUUUAAACACUUUUCGAGAGUGUUACUGUUAAGGUUUCAGGUUGUUUCAAGGAUGCACAAUCGAAGUAACCUUCUACAUUGAUCUCUGGGGCAAUUUUACUGUCUUUGCCAUAGACGAAGCCACUGGGAAAGACACGGAGUUGGACUUUCUGACCGACAAUGGCCCUUUAAUGUCUACAAUAUUGAGAAGUGGUUGAGCAAGUACAGAGAGAAAAUACGUACCGAGAUUGCGACAGAGAUUGAAACCGUUGUCACAAUUUAGGAGAGCCAAUUAGUUGUUUUGCUAUGGAGCCUCUGAUUCUCUACUCACGGGUGACAAGCCACGGGAUUGCGAAAAGAGUCUCUGUAAGUGCUUGGGUAAGUCCAAAGCUGCAAUAGAGGCUCUUUGGAAUAUAGGCCAACACAUGUCUGAAGGAUCUUCCUCCGGAGGGAGUGACUUGGGUACCACCAAUUCUAUGGAAGAACGGAGUGAGAAUGUCCAAGGAACUCUUUAAGAGGUUGGUAUUAACGACGAGGGUGAGUUCCCUGUGGGAACCUCGACCAAACGGUUUGAAGGUUCUCAGACAGAAAUGGAGAUGGAAAUGGUACCGCGCAUCAUUGUUCAAGCUGCAGAUGGCAAUGUUUAGGCCAAAGCAAACAGGCAACAGUAUUUUUCUAGGCAAAAGCACACCUUGGAAAAACUUUGACCGAAGCUAACUUCCGUCGUUUUGGUAAUUUACUAGACGCACCACUCAAAGUAUCCUUGUCCAUUUUUCCCCAUGAUGGCGUAGUUACUGUCUCGACCGAAGAGAUACUACCCUACUGGAAAAAGCUUAGGAGAGCGGCAGAAGAGGACGGGGAGAUCAUAGCCGAAAUGGAUGCGGCAAUAGAGGCUAAAAAUAAGACCUCUUCUCAUUAAAUUAAGCGACACUACCCACAUGUCUGUGGUCGAGUGGUAUCUGGACUGGAAGUGAGGGUGUUCCUCCUCCAGGUCAGGGGUUCGAAUCCAGACAUGCGGGAAGAGAGAGGCAUAGCCAAAGACUGUGUGUUCAAAUGCUGCUACCGGACCCAGAGAGAUGUAGGUUGGACCGAAGAUCCAAAUGAACUUCCUGUUUUGAUAAAAAAAAAAAAAAAAAAUU
Molecule: long non-coding RNA, 3046 nt
Organism: Tarenaya hassleriana
Lineage: Eukaryota; Viridiplantae; Streptophyta; Magnoliopsida; Brassicales; Cleomaceae
Exons: 8
Source: RefSeq, a predicted model, not a curated record